This 1062-nucleotide long non-coding RNA is filed under the name Rhinopithecus bieti (black snub-nosed monkey). Its description in RNAcentral is "lncRNA (ENSRBIG00000046253.1)". The record is from RNAcentral. Lineage: Eukaryota; Metazoa; Chordata; Mammalia; Primates; Cercopithecidae.
GGGAGCAGGGAGCGUGUGACAGGGACAGUGAAGAAACAGGCUUGGCUGGAGCCCAGGGUCCAAAUCAGGGAGCAGAAAGAAAACUACUUUCAAUGUCUCUCUUCCUUAUCAUCAGAACACAUCUAUCACAGAACACCUACAUGCACAAGAGGCCUGGCUGCCUGUGAGGUCAUAGAGGAGUGAGACGCACGGCUGUGCCUUCCAUGAGCUCAUGAGGUGGUUAAGAUGAUACACACACAUGCAAACAAGCACACCUAAGGCAGAGUGCCACAGGAAGGACAGAGAUCAUUCGUGUGCGAGUGGUGAUCCAGCCAGGGCUUCUUGAGAGGCUUCUUCACACCAUGCCAAGCACUGCAGAUGCAGAGUCAGACAAGGAAAGAUAACAGAGGGUCCUCAUCACAGCAACUUCUGUGCCCAUUGUCACCUGAAAAGGGGAGAGUGAUGAACCCCUGGGGCCCACAACAAAUCUAAGGCACUCCAUGAAUCUCAGGAUUGCUCAGCUGAAGUCUGGGCCAGCUAGGCCUGGUUGGCCAUCAGCUUAACUGCAGGAUGCACAAAAUGUAUCGUCAGGUGCCUCAGAAUAAGAAGCUAAGACGAGAGCAGAGGCUUACGGCAUGAGAUUGCAGAUCCCAAGGUCACUGGCAUCAUCUAAAGUGAAGAGCUCUGCUCAGACUCUGACUUCUGCUGUCAUCUAACACCCAGAAAUGGCCUCCAUGUGCACCCCUGGAACAUGCCUUCUUUCCAUUCAUCUGGGGGGGAAACUGAGGUUCUGCGAGAGGACGGAGCCCCAGCAAAGGCUGACAAUGCAGAAGUCAGUACUAGAUGCCAAGGAGUGCAUUCCGGGCAAGAAGGUUGUGAGAGAACAGCAAGGGGCCACAGAGAAGCUGAGAAGUCAUUCCACAGCCCCUGGUCACAGCCACCAGAGCAGCCUGAAGGUCCAUGUGGCCCAGCAGCUUCCAAGCUCCCGGCUUGGGGUGAGGCGAGUUUAGCCUGCUGCAGCCUCUUGCCCCCUUUCUCCCACCCUUCCAGGCCCUCUAGGGUCUGUUUCCCUGAAGCUUUGUC